GACGAACGCUGGCGGCGCGCCUAACACAUGCAAGUCGAACGGAGUUGUUGGAACUGAAGUUUUCGGAUGGACGUACUGACAACUUAGUGGCGAACGGGUGAGUAACGCGUGGGUAACCUGCCUUUUAGAGGGGGACAACAGUUGGAAACGACUGCUAAUACCGCAUAAGAUAUAACUGUCAAUGUUAUAUUGAAAGGAGCCUUUAAAGCUUUGCUUAAAGAUGGGCCUGCGGCGUAUUAACUAGUUGGUGAGGUAAUGGCUUACCAAGGUAACGAUGCGUAGCCGGACUGAGAGGUUGAACGGCCACACUGGGACUGAGACACGGCCCAGACUCCUACGGGAGACAGCAGUUAGGAAUAUUCGUCAAUGGGGGAAACCCUGAACGAGCAAUGCCGCGUGAGUGAUGAAGGUCUUUGGAUUGUAAAACUCUGUUGUAUGGGAAAAACGACCAAGUUAGGAAAUGAACUUGGUGUGAUGGUACCAUACCAGAAAGCCCCGGCUAACUAUGUG
Molecule: ribosomal RNA, 510 nt
Filed under: uncultured bacterium
Lineage: Bacteria
Description: bacterial SSU rRNA
Rfam family: Bacterial small subunit ribosomal RNA
Source: RNAcentral